Anthonomus grandis grandis is the source of this 349-nucleotide long non-coding RNA. RefSeq lists it as uncharacterized. The transcript is spliced from 2 exons. The record is from RefSeq and is a predicted model, not a curated record. Lineage: Eukaryota; Metazoa; Arthropoda; Insecta; Coleoptera; Curculionidae.
GGCGCCAUUUUCAAACGUCAAGCCACCCCCAUUUUUUCAGCGCAACAAAUCCAUAUAAAAGCAAUAAGGCUAAGGCGCAACAUAAAUAAUUAAUAAACCGUCGGUUCUUAUUUUAAUAUAAAUAUGAGUCAGGAAUCGGAAAUUCAUCGGUCGGCCGACAAAAUCAACAUAAGGAAGCGACAAUGACCGCUUCAUCGGGCUCAGGUAGUACCUGAAGAUUUCCGAAUCAGUAGGUGAGCGACACCGUAAUGGUUUAGGUACCAUUUGAGCGCAUUUUUUCAUUAUUCUAAUGCGGCUAUUUUGUUGUAUGUAGAAAGUGAAUGUGUGAAAAUAUAUAGACUUAUGUAAG